CCACCCCACCCAAGGAACCCCCAGCCGUGGGCCCAGGCCCCUGGUCUGGCACGCCGAUGUGAAUCGCGCGAGGCGGGACCGCAGAAUCGCCAGCGACAAUCAGUUUAUUCUGGGGAGGCUGCUACCAUUGGCGCGGAACGAGGAGGAGAGGCGCCGCCUCCGCCAAGUUUACGGUCCUAACUAAAAUGAAGAGAACCCCGUCAAGAAUAACAGAAAGAAAUGGAAAAUCAAAAUCCCCCACCACCUCCCCCA
Oryzias latipes (Japanese medaka) is the source of this 252-nucleotide non-coding RNA. The record is from RefSeq and is a predicted model, not a curated record. NCBI's taxonomy places the organism in Eukaryota, Metazoa, Chordata, Actinopteri, Beloniformes, Adrianichthyidae.